Molecule: long non-coding RNA, 298 nt
Filed under: Panax ginseng (ginseng)
Lineage: Eukaryota; Viridiplantae; Streptophyta; Magnoliopsida; Apiales; Araliaceae
Description: long non-coding RNA (PGIN_LNC012771)
Source: RNAcentral
UCUGAAUAUAUAAUCUGAAAUAAACAACAAGUCUUCAACACUGGUUCAUCUUUCCUUUUCCUUUGCUAGUGGUUGGCUCAUUAAUGUGACGUCCCCAAAAUAGGUAUACAUCACCUAUUCUGAGUCGCCAAAUACAUGGUAUAGAAACAAAUACAACUUCAGUAAUACAAUCGUCAUGCAAAAUACGACAACACAUAUAUUGUGAGUUUGAAUACAAAUAUUGUCUAGUAGACAGUAUACAAACUCAAAAGGAGUCCUCAUUAUAAUUAUUGAUACACUAUUUUACAAAAUAGUGAGG